GUAGGUGGCAAGCGUUGUCCGGAAUUAUUGGGCGUAAAGCGCGCGCAGGCGGGUCCUUCAAGUCUGAUGUGAAAGCCCACGGCUCAACCGUGGAGGGUCAUUGGAAACUGGGGGACUUGAGUACAGAAGAGGAAAGCGGAAUUCCAAGUGUAGCGGUGAAAUGCGUAGAGAUUUGGAGGAACACCAGUGGCGAAGGCGGCUUUCUGGUCUGUAACUGACGCUGAGGCGCGAAAGCGUGGGGAGCGAACAGGAUUAGAUACCCUGGUAGUCCACGCCGUAAACGAUGAGUGCUAAGUGUUAGGGGGUUUCCGCCCCUUAGUGCUGCAGCUAACGCAUUAAGCACUCCGCCUGGGGAGUACGGCCGCAAGGCUG
RNAcentral lists this ribosomal RNA (372 nucleotides) under uncultured organism. RNAcentral describes it as "partial 16S ribosomal RNA". It matches the Rfam family "Bacterial small subunit ribosomal RNA", at positions 527 to 896 of the family's 1533-position model. The record is from RNAcentral.